CUAGAGAGCAGUGGCACGAUCUUGGCUCACUGCAACCUCUGCCUCCCAAGCUCAAGUGAUUCUCCUGCCUCAGCCUCCUGAGUAGCUGGGAUUACAGGUACGCGCCACCACACCCAGCUAAUUUUUGUAGUUUUAGUAGAGAUAGGGUUUCACCAUGUUGGCCAGGCUGGUCUUGAACUCCUGACCUCAAGUGAUCCGCCCACCUCAGCCUCCCAAAGUUCUGGGAUUACAGGCAUGAGUCACUGCACUGGGCUUGUCAGUUGCUUUUUAAAAAAUCUCUGAAAUCACCCUGUUCAGUGGCCACCAUUUUCUUUUUUUAAGAAAGCUGGUACAGAAACCAAACUAAAAAACAAACACCACAACCAAAACCCCCAAUUAUCUCCACUUUGCAGCUGUACGGACUUCAAAUAAAAGUUUCUCUAUUAAGCACCUGGAGUGCAGAGAAGCGUGGGACACAUGAGGGUUGGAGACCCACAGAGAUAGGUGUCUCACUGUGUUGCCCAGGCUGUUCUCCAACUCCUGUGCUCAAGCGAUCCUGCUACCUCAGCCUCCCAAGUGCUGGAAUUACAGGGUGCUGUACUAGCCGCCAUGGAGACACAGAGAUGAACGAGACAUCAGGAUGCUGAUGAUUAAGAUAUGCACACACCCACAGCACAAUAUCAAAUACACUUUUCAGCCUGGAAAGCCACCACCUGCUUGCCUACUGGUGACCUGAAGAACCUGCAGUAGCUCCCUGUUGCUUAUCAGAUACAAUGUGAACUUUUUGGGCUAUUUUCCAGGGCCCUCCCACAUGUUUCAAGCACUUAUUAUUACCCAACAGUGUCCCUUCCUAUCCCCAGCACACAAGUGUUUGUAAUGUAACUCUCUACAUCUGAACAAGAAUGAAGACCUUUUUAAGGGAAUCAUUUUGAUGUUUAUAGUUGAUUUAUUCAACAAACAUUUACUGAAUAACUGCUAUGUGCCAGGCACCGUGACAGGUACUAAGACAGUUUUGAUGGUGACUAGGGCAAACAUGCCUGCUCUGGGGGAGCCCAUGAGCUAGCAGGGAGGACAGGCACUAAUGAUGAAAACAGAAUGUGUUGGCCAGGUGCAGUGUCUCAUGACUGUAAUCCCAGAACUUUGGGAGGCUGAGGGGCGGGGGUGGAUCACCUGAGGUCAGAAGUUUGAGACCAGCCUGGGCAACAUGGCGAAACCCCAUCUCUACUAAAAAUACAAAAAUUAGCUGGGUGUGGUGGCGCAUGCCUGUAGUCUCAGCUACAUGGGAGGCUGAGGCAGGAGAAUCGCUUGAAUCUGGGAGGCGUAGGCUGCGGUGAGCCUAGAUCACGCCACUACACUCCAGCCUGGGUGACACAGUGAGACUCCAUCUCAAAAUAAAUAAAUAAAUAAAUAAAUAGAAUGUGGUGAGUUGUCAGAUGGGACAAUUUUGGGGUACCUGAGAGUCCUGCUGAGCUGCAUUUCCACUGUGGCCUCAUAGAUUUUUUUUUUUUUCCCACCUGGGUUCUUCACAGAGCAGAGUGUGUCUUGCUGGGACAGAAUGGAGACUGUUCCAGGAGGAUGUUCACAUGGCAAACCCAAAAGGGCGCCAGCCCCCAAUCUGUUCUUCCCAUCAUUGGUGAGGUCUCCCUCUUCCCAAAUUCAGUGUCCCGUGGAAGUGACACGGAAAGCAGGGACAGAAUUAAGUGUCUAAGAAUUCCAAAAGCAAACCCUUUGGAUGAUGAAAUUAUGAAGGGCUGCAAAAAGCACUUCACAAUUUCACCGUGUUAGGAAAUAUUAGCUCCCGCCCUCUCCAGAAAGCAGCUUUUUCUGUCUUGUUGGGUGUGAUCUAUUCUCUUCUGUUCUGACUAAAUUGCUCAUGACAGGUGGUGCUCCCAUGUUUUUGAAACUUGUCCACGAAUGAAGGCUCUGACCCCUCAUGCCGUUGUUUGAUGUUGAGUCAGUGUUUAACCACUAUAAUUGGCAGAAAAGUCUUCCAACUGUCUCACCAAGAUGAGAUGCUGCAAAUUCCACCCUCUUGCUUGUCUGCUACCCUCUGCAGAAUGGAGAAAAC
RNAcentral lists this long non-coding RNA (2047 nucleotides) under Homo sapiens (human). Its description in RNAcentral is "HSALNT0242162". The record is from RNAcentral. Lineage: Eukaryota; Metazoa; Chordata; Mammalia; Primates; Hominidae.